UUAGAAAUGAGUAUUCGAAAUGUUUAAGACGAUCAUAUAAAUCCAUUAUCUGUUUAUACAUGGUUUGAAAUUGAUCCUUUUUAAUUUUCAGUGGUAUUUCUUCGUAUCCAAGUAAAUCGACGUCACCAGAAUCAGUUGUCAAACCUGGUGCCAAUUUCUUCCCAUCAAAUGUUAGUGCAAAAUAAUUGGAUGGAUUCGUUGAAACAACUUUCUUUACCAUGAAAUCAAAUUUACCGGGUCCUUUAAUAUCAGGUAGAUUCAGAUCUGUGUUAAAAGUCUCAAUAUGAAUAUGGCUGGGAACGGCAAAAUUGAUGAGAGCGUUGUCGGGAUCAUAAAAUCCUUUGCUUGUAUGACAUGAUUGGCCAGUGUUUUUAUAUCCAGUCAUAAACCUUUGAAAACGUCCAUGAAAUAGAAUUUUACCAAUGUACCAGAACUGCUUGGUUUCUUUAAACGGAUACCGCAUUAAUAUUGUUGUGGGUGUACUCCAAAACCUUAAAAUGUCACAAAACAAUAAAAAGCAAAUAUUUGAAAAGUCGAAUUUCUUAUUUGCUAUUAGAUUGAACAACAUUAAAAGAUACUGUAGGAAUCCAAACCUUGCUAUUUCUUUGAUAACAAUUGGUUAUAACUUAACUAUCUCAU
RNAcentral lists this long non-coding RNA (639 nucleotides) under Mytilus galloprovincialis (Mediterranean mussel). Lineage: Eukaryota; Metazoa; Mollusca; Bivalvia; Mytilida; Mytilidae. The record is from RNAcentral.